GCUGGGAUAGCUCAGUCGGAGGAACGUAAGUCUCUUAAUCUCUGGGUCAUGGGUUUGAGCCCCACAUUGGGCA
Podarcis lilfordi (Lilford's wall lizard) is the source of this 73-nucleotide non-coding RNA. Lineage: Eukaryota; Metazoa; Chordata; Lepidosauria; Squamata; Lacertidae. The record is from the annotation of a GenBank genome assembly.